This 1227-nucleotide long non-coding RNA is filed under the name Cricetulus griseus (Chinese hamster). Its description in RNAcentral is "lncRNA (ENSCGRG00000026522.1)". The record is from RNAcentral. Lineage: Eukaryota; Metazoa; Chordata; Mammalia; Rodentia; Cricetidae.
AAAUGAGGAGUUGCGGGGGAGGGGCUCCGUUGCUUCAGAUCCAUCCCGGGCUUUCCAUCUCACCAUGUGCUUUUUUUUUUUUUUUUUUUUUUUUUUUUUAAUGUGCCAGGAAUUCCUCUCCCACGUGGGGUGGACUCCGAGGUACUCAAUUAAGCAGCCAAUGAAAAGUCAGCUCUCCGGUAGCAAAUGACCCUGACACUUCUUGUAACAUAAACAGUUGAAACGCUUCCAAUUAGAACUGGAGACAGAGCUGUUUGAAGUCUUUUUCUUCAGUCCCCUCCUUUUAAAAUUAAUUGUCAAGCGCUUCGGACAGGGUGCUGCCGGGUGCUGGCGCCUGGGUUCACACGAGAACUCAAUGUGGAGGUUGCCUUGCACCAGCUCACGCUGACUCGUGGAGUCCUUGGGAGCACCACUGCCCGGCAGGAGACACAGAGACUGGAGACAGAGCUGCAGUGCUUUUCUGUACACAGUCCGCAUAGACUCGACCUGGGAGCCCAGGGCCUCCGUGACCGCCAGCGGGAGGGCGCCGUCGGAGCCAGUCCGGAGGGAGACCGAGGAGAAGGAGGCAGAGCUAGGCGCCUUGGCCCUGUCAUCUUGAAGGCAUUGUGUUUAAUAAAUCUGGGCGACAAGCACACCCUCUAUCUCCCCCCUCUCUUCUCGGCUCCCAAAUCAAGACCUGCUGUAGGACCCCCAGUUUAAGGGGUCUUAAAACCUCUGUACUUUGAUUAGCAGCUUCAAAGAGAUCCCUUUAAAGUUCUCCUUUCUCCCUAACCCUAUAUCUCCUCCCCCUUGACACCCCUCCUCCACCAUUCCUAGGACCAGGACAACAAAACACUAAAAUGCAAGUUUAAAGGGGGGCGGUGGAGAGGGAGAGUCUCAGACUUCCUCCUCAACGCGGUCCAUAGAAAUUACCUAUUUCAGAUGUGCGCACGAGUCGGAGCAUCGUGGAGUUUGGGUUUUGAUUUUCUUUCUUUUUUCUUUCUUUUUUCUUUCCUUUUUUUUCUUGUUCUUUUUUUUUUUUACAGGGUUUGUGUGUGUUUUUACCUUUUAUUAUUUAAAUUGAUACGUUUCAUUACUAGGGAGAAAAAUAAAAUAUUCCUUUGAUACACAAAAUCAAAUUGAUAUUUAGCCUCUGCUUACUUUUUUAUGCAUGGCUCCUUUAUACCACAUGGUAGUGACAGAUUGUUUGAGCUGGAAGGAAAAGCCAUUCAAAGCUAAUUAAGCAGC